UUGGCGAUAUACUGUCAGCGGCCAAGCGAAAGUAUUAAGUGAUGCACCUGGGGAGUACGCCGGCAACGGUGAAACUCAAAGGAAUUGACGGGGGCCCGCACAAGCGGUGGAGCAUGUGGUUUAAUUCGAUGAUACGCGAGGAACCUUACCAGGGCUUAAAUGUAGUAUGACCGGCUUAGAAAUAGGCCUUCUCUUCGGAGCAGAUUACAAGGUGCUGCAUGGUUGUCGUCAGCUCGUGCCGUGAGGUGUUAGGUUAAGUCCUGCAACGAGCGCAACCCCUAUUCUUAGUUGCCAGCGGUUCGGCCGGGGACUCUAAGAAGACUGCCAGCGCAAGCUGAGAGGAAGGUGGGGAUGACGUCAAAUCAUCACGGCCCUUACGUCCUGGGCUACACACGUGCUACAAUGGUAGAGACAGAGGGCAGCCACCUGGUGACAGGGAGCGAAUCCUUAAACUCUAUCUCAGUUCGGAUCGAAGUCUGCAACUCGACUUCGUGAAGCUGGAAUCGCUAGUAAUCGCGCAUCAGCCAUGGCGCGGUGAAUACGUUCCCGGGCCUUGUACACACCGCCCGUCAAGCCAUGGAAGCUGGGGGCACCUGAAGUCGGUAACCGUAAGGAGCCGCCUAGGGUGAAACUGGUAACUAGGGCU
RNAcentral lists this ribosomal RNA (646 nucleotides) under uncultured marine bacterium. RNAcentral describes it as "bacterial SSU rRNA". It matches the Rfam family "Bacterial small subunit ribosomal RNA", at positions 823 to 1482 of the family's 1533-position model. The record is from RNAcentral.